Molecule: ribosomal RNA, 492 nt
Filed under: uncultured bacterium
Lineage: Bacteria
Description: partial 16S ribosomal RNA
Rfam family: Bacterial small subunit ribosomal RNA
Source: RNAcentral
AGUGAACGCUGGCGGUAGGCCUAACACAUGCAAGUCGAACGGCAGCACAGUAAGAGCUUGCUCUUACGGGUGGCGAGUGGCGGACGGGUGAGGAAUACAUCGGAAUCUACUUUUUCGUGGGGGAUAACGUAGGGAAACUUACGCUAAUACCGCACACGACCUACGGGUGAAAGCAGGGGAUCUUCGGACCUUGCGCGAUUGAAUGAGCCGAUGUCGGAUUAGCUAGUUGGCGGGGUAAAGGCCCACCAAGGCGACGAUCCGUAGCUGGUCUGAGAGGAUGAUCAGCCCCACUGGAACUGAGACACGGUCCAGACUCCUACGGGAGGCAGCAGUGGGGAAUAUUGGACAAUGGGCGCAAGCCUGAUCCAGCCAUACCGCGUGGGUGAAGAAGGCCUUCGGGUUGUAAAGCCCUUUUGUUGGGAAAGAAAAGCAGCAGGUUAAUACCCCGCUGUUCUGACGGUACCCAAAGAAUAAGCACCGGCUAACUUCGUG